AUGCAGCACUCCCCUGGCAGCGAAAAAACCGGCUCUAAGAGCGUUGCCGGCUGGGCGCUGUAGCCCCCGCCGGCGAGAAGGCAAGAGAGCUGCCCUCUGUGGGCCACCUGGGCUGUAGAGCCGGGAGGGAAGGGUUUUCUCCGGCUUCCAUGCGCCGCCCCUCCUCCCUCAGCCGGGACGAGCAAAAUCUCGCGAGAGCUCCACCCCUGAGAUUGCGCAAAUCGGCUACGCUCAGCAGGCGGAGGAACGCGCCCGGCAAUCGCCUUGAGCGUCGCGCCCCUCCCGCUCUGCGUGAAAAUGGACUCGCCCGAAGCCGGGCCCAUGAAACGCCGGCGUGAACCAACGGGACACCGGGGGGGGGAGGGGGAUUCAAAGUUGAAGCGUCAUGGCCGGCUCCUCUCGGAGUUAAAUCACGCCGGGCCGCACGGGGGAUGGGUCUCCGAAACGGACAAGCUGCGGGAAGAACGUGCCUACCAGGAGACAACUGGACGGAACCACCUGGGAUGGCCAAGUGUAACACUUCUGCACUACGGUGGUACACUGUACUUCUUGUACGUCUGUCAGAAGCAGUCUGCAAAAAAUAAGAGUGGUGGCUGCCUCGAAAAUUCUGAGAAAAGGAAAUGAAAGUGAGAGAUGCAAGGGAUCGCUGCCUCCAAGUUGCUGUUGCCAUAGAACUGCUGCUGUUCAAGAAAAAACUGCAGCAUGGACUUCUUCUGCCACUGAAGCUAAUACCCAACUAGUGGAGCUGCUGGUAUGUGUGGGUGGAGGGGGAUCCAGCUACAGAAGAUUUGCUGCUCGCUGUGACA
This is a long non-coding RNA of Mauremys reevesii (Reeves's turtle), 806 nucleotides long. RefSeq lists it as uncharacterized. The record is from RefSeq and is a predicted model, not a curated record. NCBI's taxonomy places the organism in Eukaryota, Metazoa, Chordata, Testudines, Geoemydidae. The transcript has 4 exons.